GGGGCGGUGGCGGAAUAGGCAGACGCAACGGACUUAAAAUCCGUCGGUGGUGACACUGUGUGGGUUCGACCCCCACCCGCCCUA
Molecule: transfer RNA, 84 nt
Filed under: bacterium
Lineage: Bacteria
Also listed under: 3 other names
Description: tRNA-Leu
Rfam family: tRNA
About the family: Transfer RNA (tRNA) molecules are approximately 80 nucleotides in length.
Source: RNAcentral